This 253-nucleotide ribosomal RNA is filed under the name uncultured bacterium. RNAcentral describes it as "partial 16S ribosomal RNA". It matches the Rfam family "Bacterial small subunit ribosomal RNA", at positions 524 to 776 of the family's 1533-position model. The record is from RNAcentral.
CACGUAGGGUGCGAGCGUUGUCCGGAAUUAUUGGGCGUAAAGAGCUCGUAGGCGGUGUGUCGCGUCGGCCGUGAAAACCUGCAGCUUAACUGUGGGCGUGCGGUCGAUACGGGCAGACUAGAGGUAGGUAGGGGAGAUUGGAAUUCCCGGUGUAGCGGUGAAAUGCGCAGAUAUCGGGAGGAACACCGGUGGCGAAGGCUGUUCUCUGGGCCUUACCUGACGCUGAGGAGCGAAAGCGUGGGGAGCAAACAGG